This 125-nucleotide small nucleolar RNA is filed under the name Falco tinnunculus (common kestrel). RNAcentral's name for it is "Small nucleolar RNA SNORD22 (ENSFTIG00000003530.1)". It matches the Rfam family "Small nucleolar RNA SNORD22". Rfam says of the family: U22 is a member of the C/D class of snoRNA which contain the C (UGAUGA) and D (CUGA) box motifs. The record is from Rfam by way of RNAcentral. Lineage: Eukaryota; Metazoa; Chordata; Aves; Falconiformes; Falconidae.
CCCCCGUGAGGAAACCCCCGCGUGUCUGACCCCCCAGCGCCGCCAGAACCUGCCCAAGGUUGAACCCACUGGUGACACUGGGGGGAGGGGAGGACGAGCGGUCCCGAGCGGACGGUCUGAGGGGG